This 235-nucleotide long non-coding RNA is filed under the name Lathyrus oleraceus (garden pea). Its description in RNAcentral is "Pisum sativum (pea) long non-coding RNA (PSAT_LNC011947)". Lineage: Eukaryota; Viridiplantae; Streptophyta; Magnoliopsida; Fabales; Fabaceae. The record is from RNAcentral.
AUCCUUUGGGUCGGCUGCCCACCGGGAUACCCUAACUUUUGCCUAAGUCAAUCUUGUUUUCAAGCUCUCAACUUAGCGGGCUUUUCAUUUGCUUUUGAUUUUUUUCAUUUUGUUUCAUUUUUCUUUUGGAGCAAAUCCAGUGGCGCUGCUCUCGACAUAUAUAAGAGAUCAAUGGUAUGAAGGGUCUUGGUUUCCUGCAGAAAAAACCCAAUAGCCUCUCACAGGUGUGUACUAG